Molecule: ribosomal RNA, 614 nt
Filed under: Stegastes lividus
Lineage: Eukaryota; Metazoa; Chordata; Actinopteri; Pomacentridae
Description: partial 12S ribosomal RNA
Rfam family: Bacterial small subunit ribosomal RNA
Source: RNAcentral
UCAGAACUAUUAUACGUUUCCGAAGAAAGAAGCCCCACCACGAAAGUGACUUUACCACCCCUGACCCCACGAAAGCUGUGGCACAAACUGGGAUUAGAUACCCCACUAUGCUCAGCUAUAAAUUUUGAUAGACCAUUACACCCCCUAUCCGCCCGGGUACUACGAGCACUAGCUUAAAACCCGAAGGACUUGGCGGUGCUUUAGAUCCACCUAGAGGAGCCUGUUCUAGAACCGAUAAUCCCCGUUUAACCUCACCCUCCCUUGCUCCUUCCCGCCUAUAUACCGCCGUCGUCGCUUACCCUGUGAAGGACUAAUAGUAAGCAAAAUUGGCAAAGCCCAAAACGCCAGGUCAGGUGUAGCGAAUGAGAGGGGAAGAAAUGGGCUACAUUUCCUGAACCCAGCACAUACGGACAACACACUGAAACGUGUAUUGAAAGGAGGAUUUAGCAGUAAGCAGAAAAUAGAGUGUUCUACUGAAACUGGCCCUGAAGCGCGCACACACCGCCCGUCACUCUCCCCAAAUACCUAAAAACCUGAAACAAUAAAGGGGAGGCAAGUCGUAACAUGGUAAGUGUACCGGAAGGUGCACUUGGAAAAAUCAGGGCUUAGCUAAG